This 2915-nucleotide ribosomal RNA is filed under the name Klebsiella pneumoniae. RNAcentral's name for it is "23S ribosomal RNA". It matches the Rfam family "Bacterial large subunit ribosomal RNA". The record is from RNAcentral. Lineage: Bacteria; Pseudomonadati; Pseudomonadota; Gammaproteobacteria; Enterobacterales; Enterobacteriaceae.
GGGUUGUGAGGUUAAGCGACUAAGCGUACACGGUGGAUGCCCUGGCAGUCAGAGGCGAUGAAGGACGUGCUAAUCUGCGAAAAGCGUCGGUAAGGUGAUAUGAACCGUUAUAACCGGCGAUGUCCGAAUGGGGAAACCCAGUGCAAUUCGUUGCACUAUCGUUAACUGAAUACAUAGGUUAACGAGGCGAACCGGGGAACUGAAACAUCUAAGUACCCCGAGGAAAAGAAAUCAACCGAGAUUCCCCAGUAGCGGCGAGCGAACGGGGAGCAGCCCAGAGUCUGAAUCAGCUUGUGUGUUAGUGGAACGGUCUGGAAAGUCCGACGGUACAGGGUGAUAGUCCCGUACACCAAAAUGCACAGGUUGUGAACUCGAAGAGUAGGGCGGGACACGUGGUAUCCUGUCUGAAUAUGGGGGACCAUCCUCCAAGGCUAAAUACUCCUGACUGACCGAUAGUGAACCAGUACCGUGAGGGAAAGGCGAAAAGAACCCCGGCGAGGGGAGUGAAAAAGAACCUGAAACCGUGUACGUACAAGCAGUGGGAGCACCUUCGGGUGUGACUGCGUACCUUUUGUAUAAUGGGUCAGCGACUUAUAUUCUGUAGCAAGGUUAACCGUAUAGGGAGCCGCAGGGAAACCGAGUCUUAACUGGGCGUUAAGUUGCAGGGUAUAGACCCGAAACCCGGUGAUCUAGCCAUGGGCAGGUUGAAGGUUGGGUAACACUAACUGGAGGACCGAACCGACUAAUGUUGAAAAAUUAGCGGAUGACUUGUGGCUGGGGGUGAAAGGCCAAUCAAACCGGGAGAUAGCUGGUUCUCCCGAAAGCUAUUUAGGUAGCGCCUCGUGAACUCAUCUUCGGGGUAGAGCACUGUUUCGGCUAGGGGUCAUCCCGACUUACCAACCCGAUGCAAACUACGAAUACCGAAGAAUGUUAUCACGGGAGACACACGGCGGGUGCUAACGUCCGUCGUGAAGAGGGAAACAACCCAGACCGCCAGCUAAGGUCCCAAAGUCAUGGUUAAGUGGGAAACGAUGUGGGAAGGCACAGACAGCCAGGAUGUUGGCUUAGAAGCAGCCAUCAUUUAAAGAAAGCGUAAUAGCUCACUGGUCGAGUCGGCCUGCGCGGAAGAUGUAACGGGGCUAAACCAUGCACCGAAGCUGCGGCAGCGACACUAUGUGUUGUUGGGUAGGGGAGCGUUCUGUAAGCCUGCGAAGGUGUGCUGUGAGGCAUGCUGGAGGUAUCAGAAGUGCGAAUGCUGACAUAAGUAACGAUAAAGCGGGUGAAAAGCCCGCUCGCCGGAAGACCAAGGGUUCCUGUCCAACGUUAAUCGGGGCAGGGUGAGUCGACCCCUAAGGCGAGGCCGAAAGGCGUAGUCGAUGGGAAACAGGUUAAUAUUCCUGUACUUGGUGUUACUGCGAAGGGGGACGGAGAAGGCUAUGUUAGCCGGGCGACGGUUGUCCCGGUUUAAGCAUGUAGGCUGAUUGUCCAGGCAAAUCCGGAUAAUCAAGGCUGAGGUGUGAUGACGAGGCACUACGGUGCUGAAGUAACAAAUGCCCUGCUUCCAGGAAAAGCCUCUAAGCAUCAGGUAACAUUAAAUCGUACCCCAAACCGACACAGGUGGUCAGGUAGAGAAUACCAAGGCGCUUGAGAGAACUCGGGUGAAGGAACUAGGCAAAAUGGUGCCGUAACUUCGGGAGAAGGCACGCUGGUGUGUAGGUGAAGUCCCUGCGGAUGGAGCUGAGACCAGUCGAAGAUACCAGCUGGCUGCAACUGUUUAUUAAAAACACAGCACUGUGCAAACACGAAAGUGGACGUAUACGGUGUGACGCCUGCCCGGUGCCGGAAGGUUAAUUGAUGGGGUUAUCCGUAAGGAGAAGCUCUUGAUCGAAGCCCCGGUAAACGGCGGCCGUAACUAUAACGGUCCUAAGGUAGCGAAAUUCCUUGUCGGGUAAGUUCCGACCUGCACGAAUGGCGUAAUGAUGGCCAGGCUGUCUCCACCCGAGACUCAGUGAAAUUGAACUCGCUGUGAAGAUGCAGUGUACCCGCGGCAAGACGGAAAGACCCCGUGAACCUUUACUAUAGCUUGACACUGAACAUUGAGCCUUGAUGUGUAGGAUAGGUGGGAGGCUUUGAAGCGUGGACGCCAGUCUGCGUGGAGCCAACCUUGAAAUACCACCCUUUAAUGUUUGAUGUUCUAACGUUGGCCCCUUACCGGGGUUGCGGACAGUGUCUGGUGGGUAGUUUGACUGGGGCGGUCUCCUCCCAAAGCGUAACGGAGGAGCACGAAGGUUAGCUAAUCCUGGUCGGACAUCAGGAGGUUAGUGCAAUGGCAUAAGCUAGCUUGACUGCGAGCGUGACGGCGCGAGCAGGUGCGAAAGCAGGUCAUAGUGAUCCGGUGGUUCUGAAUGGAAGGGCCAUCGCUCAACGGAUAAAAGGUACUCCGGGGAUAACAGGCUGAUACCGCCCAAGAGUUCAUAUCGACGGCGGUGUUUGGCACCUCGAUGUCGGCUCAUCACAUCCUGGGGCUGAAGUAGGUCCCAAGGGUAUGGCUGUUCGCCAUUUAAAGUGGUACGCGAGCUGGGUUUAGAACGUCGUGAGACAGUUCGGUCCCUAUCUGCCGUGGGCGCUGGAGAAUUGAGGGGGGCUGCUCCUAGUACGAGAGGACCGGAGUGGACGCAUCACUGGUGUUCGGGUUGUCAUGCCAAUGGCACUGCCCGGUAGCUAAAUGCGGAAGAGAUAAGUGCUGAAAGCAUCUAAGCACGAAACUUGCCCCGAGAUGAGUUCUCCCUGAGACUUUAAGUCUCCUGAAGGAACGUUGAAGACGACGACGUUGAUAGGCCGGGUGUGUAAGCGCAGCGAUGCGUUGAGCUAACCGGUACUAAUGAACCGUGAGGCUUAACCUUACAACGCCGAAG